UGACAGGAUUACAUGAUAAAUGGAAUAAUAAUCUCUUUAGAUGGUUUUUGUUACGUUCCCUGCCUCGGUUUGCCUGGGUAGCGCAGGUGAAGCUAAUUAGCCUACCUAAUUGCCUGAUUACCUCCACCUGCCUGUGGCCAAACAUAAGCCCUGCUGUAGGAGGCCGAAGAGAUCUUUUGCGGGACUGUCUCGAACCGCUGCGGCAAAACAGGGCCCAUUCUCGUCAUUUAUGCCACGCUUAGUGACCAGAAUAUCCCUUGUUUCGAUCUCAAAUUUUUUUUUACGAGUGAGAUUCUCUUCACGGGAGUACGAGGUAGCUGUCUACAGGUCGGAAUCCUGUCGGGCGCUUUCCUCCUUGGGCAACGGUGUUGGACGCAGACAUUCGAACUCCCCAGGCGAAUCAAAGAAUUGAGGCACUGCUGUGUUAUCCACACCUCAGACAAUUGCUUCUCACUGUAGACCAAGCUGAGGAUAAAGCGGCCAUCGUGAAAGUUGCCAUGCAGGAACCCUUGUUCGUGGAAUUUGGUGACCAGUGCCUGAAAAUUGUAUAAAUGCCGUCCAAAUCCAUGCAUCAUGGCCACACUGUAAAGUGUUGUAAACAUUAUUUCAUGAUUUAAUAAUUCUGUGAAUUUUGAAA
Long non-coding RNA from Anguilla rostrata (American eel), 637 nucleotides. RefSeq lists it as uncharacterized. The record is from RefSeq and is a predicted model, not a curated record. NCBI's taxonomy places the organism in Eukaryota, Metazoa, Chordata, Actinopteri, Anguilliformes, Anguillidae. The transcript is spliced from 2 exons.